AGAGUUUGAUCAUGGCUCAGGACGAACGCUGGCGGCGUGCCUAAUACAUGCAAGUCGUACGAAUUGAUUAAGGAGCUUGCUCCUUAUGACGUUAGUGGCGAACGGGUGAGUAACACGUGGGUAACCUACCUUCAAGAGGGGGAUAACAUCCGGAAACGGGUGCUAAUACCGCAUAGUUUCAGCUUCCACAUGGAAGCUGAAGGAAAGACGGCCUUUGUGCUGUCACUUGGAGAUGGACCCGCGGCGCAUUAGUUAGUUGGUAGGGUAACGGCCUACCAAGACGAUGAUGCGUAGCCGACCUGAGAGGGUGAUCGGCCACAUUGGGACUGAGACACGGCCCAAACUCCUACGGGAGGCAGCAGUAGGGAAUCUUCCGCAUGGACGAAAGUCUGACGGAGCAACGCCGCGUGAGUGAAGAAGGUUUUCGGAUCGUAAAACUCUGUUGUUGGAGAAGAACAAGUAGGAGAGUAACUGCUCUUACCUUGACGGUACCCAACCAGAAAGCCACGGCUAACUACGUGCCAGCAGCCGCGGUAAUACGUAGGUGGCAAGCGUUGUCCGGAUUUAUUGGGCGUAAAGCGAGCGCAGGCGGUUCCUUAAGUCUGAUGUGAAAGCCCACGGCUCAACCGUGGAAGGUCAUUGGAAACUGGGGAACUUGAAUGCAGAAGAGGAGAGUGGAAUUCCAUGUGUAGCGGUGAAAUGCGUAGAUAUAUGGAGGAACACCAGUGGCGAAGGCGACUCUCUGGUCUGUAAUUGACGCUGAGGCUCGAAAGCGUGGGGAGCAAACAGGAUUAGAUACCCUGGUAGUCC
RNAcentral lists this ribosomal RNA (810 nucleotides) under uncultured bacterium. Its description in RNAcentral is "bacterial SSU rRNA". It matches the Rfam family "Bacterial small subunit ribosomal RNA", at positions 8 to 796 of the family's 1533-position model. The record is from RNAcentral.